Non-coding RNA from Acanthosepion pharaonis, 110 nucleotides. The record is from the annotation of a GenBank genome assembly. Lineage: Eukaryota; Metazoa; Mollusca; Cephalopoda; Sepiida; Sepiidae.
AUGGUCACAUCACAUUGAAACACCGGUUUCCGUACGAACACAAAGGUUAAGCAACGUCGAGCCUGGUCAGUACCUAGAUCGGUGACCGAUUGGGAAUACCAAGUGUUGAA